UGCGUAGACGGAGAAACAAGUCAGAUGUGAAAUUCCAGGGCUUAACCUUGGGGCUGCAUUUGAUACGUGUAGACUAGAGUGUGAGAGAGGGUUGUGGAAUUCCCAGUGUAGAGGUGAAAUUCGUAGAUAUUGGGAAGAACACCGGUGGCGAAGGCGGCAACCUGGCUCAUUACUGACGCUGAGGCGCGAAAGCGUGGGGAGCAAACAGGAUUAGAUACCCCAGUA
RNAcentral lists this ribosomal RNA (225 nucleotides) under uncultured Asaia sp. RNAcentral's name for it is "partial 16S ribosomal RNA". It matches the Rfam family "Bacterial small subunit ribosomal RNA", at positions 568 to 792 of the family's 1533-position model. Lineage: Bacteria; Pseudomonadati; Pseudomonadota; Alphaproteobacteria; Acetobacterales; Acetobacteraceae. The record is from RNAcentral.